This 30-nucleotide non-coding RNA is filed under the name Rattus norvegicus (Norway rat). The record is from RNAcentral. Lineage: Eukaryota; Metazoa; Chordata; Mammalia; Rodentia; Muridae.
UUCCNCGAAUGGCUAACCUCAAACUUAGAC